GCAUAGCUCAGUUGGAUAGAGCAACAGCCUUCUAAGCUGUCGGCCGCAAGUUCGAAUCUUGCUG
Molecule: transfer RNA, 64 nt
Filed under: Enterococcus cecorum
Lineage: Bacteria; Bacillati; Bacillota; Bacilli; Lactobacillales; Enterococcaceae
Rfam family: tRNA
About the family: Transfer RNA (tRNA) molecules are approximately 80 nucleotides in length. Their secondary structure includes four short double-helical elements and three loops (D, anti-codon, and T loops).
Source: RNAcentral